This 403-nucleotide ribosomal RNA is filed under the name uncultured Gymnodinium. Its description in RNAcentral is "partial small subunit ribosomal RNA". It matches the Rfam family "Eukaryotic small subunit ribosomal RNA", at positions 30 to 432 of the family's 1831-position model. Lineage: Eukaryota; Dinophyceae; Gymnodiniales. The record is from RNAcentral.
GCUUGUCUCAAAGAUUAAGCCAUGCAUGUCUCAGUAUAAGUUCUUAUAUGGCGAAACUGCGAAUGGCUCAUUACAACAGUUAUAGUUUAUUUGAUGGUUGCUUACUACAUGGAUAACUGUGGUAAUUCUAGAGCUAAUACAUGCAUCAGUACCCGACUUUGUGGAAGGGUUGUGUUUAUUAGGUACAGAACCAAUGCAAGCUCCGCUUGACCUUUUGGUGAUUCAUGGUAACCGAACGAAUCGCACGGCACCAGCUGGCGAUGGACCAUUUCAGUUUCUGACCUAUCAGCUUCCGACGGUAGGAUAUGGGCCUACCGUGGCAAUGACGGGUAACGGAGAAUUAGGGUUCGAUUCCGGAGAGGGAGCCUGAGAAACGGCUACCACAUCCAAGGAAGGCAGCAGG